AGAUUGAACGCUGGCGGCAUGCCCUACACAUGCAAGUCGAACGGCAGCACGGGAGCAAUCCUGGUGGCGAGUGGCGAACGGGUGAGUAAUACAUCGGAACGUGCCCAAUCGUGGGGGAUAACGCAGCGAAAGCUGUGCUAAUACCGCAUAAGAUCUACGGAUGAAAGCAGGGGAUCGCAAGACCUUGCGCGAAUGGAGCGGCCGAUGGCAGAUUAGGUAGUUGGUGAGGUAAAGGCUCACCAAGCCUUCGAUCUGUAGCUGGUCUGAGGAGGACGACCAGGCCACACGUGGGACUGACGACGACGGCCAGACCUCCUACGGGAGCAGCGAGGUGGGAAUUUGGAACAGUACGGGA
Molecule: ribosomal RNA, 355 nt
Filed under: uncultured soil bacterium
Lineage: Bacteria
Description: bacterial SSU rRNA
Rfam family: Bacterial small subunit ribosomal RNA
Source: RNAcentral